CUUCAAGGAGGAGCAACGAGUGUCUAUGCAAGCAGCGGACCACGCGCCUGUGGGAGAAGCCGCCAGCUCAGUAACUGAAAGUCUCCAUCAGACUUGAAAUGCCGGCUUUCUAUUACUAGGUCCCCAGGAAGCACUAAGUCACUAAGAUUCGAAGAAGAAGAAGUGCUUGAUUCCUCCUAAGCCAUAAGUGCUGAGGAGGCAGAGGUUAUAAAGAUCUGCUGAUGGCAUGCUAAGGUGAAGGAAAGCGACCACACAGGGACGGCGCGAAUGGUAUCCACAACCCUCGGUCGAGAGCUGAAAGUUAGAGUUUGGACUAAGCGUCAAGACUGGGUUUCUCAGACAUCAGGAAUCCGUCUAUGUGUCCCCAAGACCUGGUAACAGGAGCUGCAAAGAUGUUUUGAAACUAAAGUGAUACAUUCUUACAGGAAA
Molecule: long non-coding RNA, 429 nt
Organism: Mastomys coucha (southern multimammate mouse)
Lineage: Eukaryota; Metazoa; Chordata; Mammalia; Rodentia; Muridae
Exons: 3
Source: RefSeq, a predicted model, not a curated record